AACGUAGGUCACAAGCGUUGUCCGGAAUUACUGGGUGUAAAGGGAGCGCAGGCGGGAAGACAAGUUGGAAGUGAAAUCUAUGGGCUCAACCCAUAAACUGCUUUCAAAACUGUUUUUCUUGAGUAGUGCAGAGGCAGGCGGAAUUCCCGGUGUAGCGGUGGAAUGCGUAGAUAUCGGGAGGAACACCAGUGGCGAAGGCGGCCUACUGGGCACCAACUGACGCUGAGGCUCGAAAGUGUGGGUAGCAAACAGG
Molecule: ribosomal RNA, 253 nt
Filed under: Faecalibacterium prausnitzii
Lineage: Bacteria; Bacillati; Bacillota; Clostridia; Eubacteriales; Oscillospiraceae
Description: partial 16S ribosomal RNA
Rfam family: Bacterial small subunit ribosomal RNA
Source: RNAcentral